GACGAACGCUGGCGGCGUGCUUAACACAUGCAAGUCGAACGAUGAACCCGGAGCUUGCUCCGGUGGAUUAGUGGCGAACGGGUGAGUAACACGUGAGUAACCUGCCCUUGACUCUGGGAUAACUGCGGGAAACUGUAGCUAAUACCGGAUACGACCCUCGGCGGCAUCGCCAGGGGGUGGAAAGAAUGUCGGACAAGGAUGGACGCGCGGCCUACGAGCUAGAUGGUGAGGAAACGGAGCACCAAGGCGACGACGGGUAGCCGGCCUGGGAGGGUGACCCGCCACACAGGGACUGAGGCGGGACCCAGACUCCUACGGGAGGCAGCGAUGAGAAAUAUUGCACGAUAGGCGCAGGCCGGGUGCAGCAACGCCGCGUGGGAGAUGACGGCCUUCGGGUUGUAAACCUCUUUUAGUAGGGAAGAAGCGAAAGUGACGGUACCUGCAGAAAAAGCACCGGCUAACUACGUGCCAGCCGCCGCGGUAA
RNAcentral lists this ribosomal RNA (484 nucleotides) under uncultured bacterium. RNAcentral describes it as "partial 16S ribosomal RNA". It matches the Rfam family "Bacterial small subunit ribosomal RNA", at positions 28 to 523 of the family's 1533-position model. The record is from RNAcentral.